This 439-nucleotide long non-coding RNA is filed under the name Anser brachyrhynchus (Pink-footed goose). RNAcentral describes it as "lncRNA (ENSABRG00000004621.1)". The record is from RNAcentral. Lineage: Eukaryota; Metazoa; Chordata; Aves; Anseriformes; Anatidae.
GGCCAGGGCAAAAAGAUAGGUAGGAUAUUGUAAGCACCUGUGUGAUUCUGGAUGCAAAUCUGUUCUGGGGUUAUCUCAUUACAAGCAAACAAGGAACAAGGGAACAUGUUGUUAGAUGUCCUGUUUCAUUAAGCUUUUUCUAAGCCUGAAAAAUAGAAGUUCUUAUACUUAUCCUGCUGCUAUGCCUGGCACCCAUCUAUUAUCCUGGCCCAGGUCCAAGCAGUAGAGUAAGCUGCAAUGGAAGGAGAGCUGGUACAAUAUGGCGAGGAGCACAGCAGUGGGCCACUAUGCAGGAAAGUAUGCAACAUGCCUGGGGUCUCAGCAAGAUCAAGCAGUGAGGAGGGUCCCACAGCAGCACAGCACCAGUUCUACUGGCUGUAAUUGGUGCCGGUUCCAGGGGCAAUCUCAGAGAGAGGAGACUCUCAGAGACCAGAGCUGA